This is a long non-coding RNA of Brachypodium distachyon (stiff brome), 968 nucleotides long. RefSeq lists it as uncharacterized. The record is from RefSeq and is a predicted model, not a curated record. The transcript has 2 exons. NCBI's taxonomy places the organism in Eukaryota, Viridiplantae, Streptophyta, Magnoliopsida, Poales, Poaceae.
UUGUAGCUCCAUCUGCCACCUUCUUCUUCCUGCCAUUCCGGACGAGCUCGUCGGCGGAGGCAGGCUUGGGGAUGUCGCGGGGGACAUUGCCGUGAUUGUGGGUUGACAUUCAGCCGGCCCGCGGUGAAAUGAAAACAAGGAUAUAGUGCUGGGUUUGAUUAUGAGCCAUGUUCAGAGUAUGAUGGGUUCUUGGGAGUGAGGAUGGUAAAUAAAGCAGCAGGCUGAAGGAAGUCAAAACCGUGAAUGAGCCGCUUCGGGGUUCCUACAGGCUAUCACAUGGAAGUUGCUUGUUUACUGUGCUUUGACCUCACAUUCAUAAGUUUUAUAUCACCGACUUUUCCCUCUUCAGAGGCCUCAUCCAGGUUAAUUUCUGCACCUUUGGAUCAAAAGCACAGAGUUUUCUAAUCUUUUGUGCUUCUUCUUUUCAGUGAACGAAUUUUGUAUAAAUUCAGUCAAAAUUGGUAAGUUUGAAUUAGGACAAUUUCAAGUGUAUAGACAUCAAGAAACAAAGUAUUAGAGUAGAUGUAUGCAGUAGUCUUUGUUGUAUGAUAUGGAUGUCCUAAAGUACAGGCUAUUGGAGACGCUUUACCACCUCGUAGUAACCAGUGGUUGGCUCAAUGUGCUUCCUAAGCUCGAACUCUCUGUUUUUAAUGAAAAUUCAGGUAGAGGCCCUCUCCAGAAUUAGCAGCGAUUAUUUUCUGUUUAUUUUCGCUGCCGGUGACGUGAUAGUCAAAAGAAUAAGACUAAUGGCUGCAAAGCAAAAUAACAUCAUGAGCGAGAUUUCAUAAAACACAUUGGGGGGACACAUGAUUUCAUCACAUCGUAUCAUGUCAGACAAUAUAACACGACUUUUCACUACUGGAUGGUUGUAUCUUCGUCAUCUUAUGAAUGGGGAACAACAGGAAGUGAACACAGUUGUGCCCAGAAUUUUUAUCCUCGUGUUAUAUUUCAGGUCGUCGCCUGAGUUU